ACGCCCGUAAACAUUUUUGUUAACUGCUUGAGUUGCUUAUCUAUAACUAAUUUAUGUACAUUAUCUAUGUAUUUAUUUCAGCUCGAGCAGUCUAACAGAGCGGAGCUCUCUGUU
This is a non-coding RNA of Bombyx mori (domestic silkworm), 114 nucleotides long. NCBI's taxonomy places the organism in Eukaryota, Metazoa, Arthropoda, Insecta, Lepidoptera, Bombycidae. The record is from RefSeq and is marked provisional.